UACGUAGGUGGCAAGCGUUGUUCGGAAUUAUUGGGCGUAAAGGGCGCGUAGGCGGCCUGCUAAGUCGAACGUGAAAUCCCCGAGCUCAACUCGGGAACUGCGUCCGAUACUGGUUGGCUUGAAUCCGGGAGAGGGAUGCGGAAUUCCAGGUGUAGCGGUGAAAUGCGUAGAUAUCUGGAGGAACACCGGUGGCGAAGGCGGCAUCCUGGACCGGCAUUGACGCUGAGGCGCGAAAGCCAGGGGAGCAAACGGG
RNAcentral lists this ribosomal RNA (253 nucleotides) under uncultured prokaryote. RNAcentral describes it as "partial 16S ribosomal RNA". It matches the Rfam family "Bacterial small subunit ribosomal RNA", at positions 524 to 776 of the family's 1533-position model. The record is from RNAcentral.